This 322-nucleotide ribosomal RNA is filed under the name uncultured eukaryote. RNAcentral's name for it is "partial 18S ribosomal RNA". It matches the Rfam family "Eukaryotic small subunit ribosomal RNA", at positions 1470 to 1796 of the family's 1831-position model. The record is from RNAcentral.
CCCUUAGAUGUUCUGGGCCGCACGCGUGCUACACUGAGUGGAUCAGCGGGUCAGGUUGCGCGAAAGUGUUUCCUAAUCUUGAAAUCCGCUCGUGAUGGGGAUUGACGGUUGCAAUUUUCCGUCAUGAACGAAGAAUACCUUGUAAGCGCGGGUCAUCAUCCCGCGCUGAAUACGUCCCUGCCCUUUGUACACACCGCCCGUCGCUCCUACCGAUUGAGUGGUCCGGUGAGGCUUUGGGAUCUGAGCGGAAAGAGCGUUUCGCUGUUUCUGCUCGGAAAACUCAGUCGAACCUUAUCAUUUAGAGGAAGGAGAAGUCGUAACA